Molecule: long non-coding RNA, 1062 nt
Filed under: Citrus maxima (pomelo)
Lineage: Eukaryota; Viridiplantae; Streptophyta; Magnoliopsida; Sapindales; Rutaceae
Description: long non-coding RNA (CMAX_LNC001478)
Source: RNAcentral
CUGAUCACGAAGAAUCCCAAGCAAAGUUUCCCUCUCAUUUUCCAUCAAAUCAUGUGAAGUGCCAAAUUGAACAGCAGCUCUUGCAACGCAAGAAUUGUCACUCUGAUUCUCCGCUCCAUACUUGCAACAAUCUUCGGCCAACUUUCUCGCUACAAUAUUUGAAUACAAAAAUAUUGUACACAAGAACUAGUCAAGAAAAAAAAAAAAAUCAAAUAUUAUAACGAGAGCAAGAGCAAACGAACAACCUAUUUCCAUUUGUUUCAAGCUUACUGCAACAAACACUUCAACGCCACGGACAACAUUCCUCUGAAAAUGCUGCGCUACAGAGCAUAUAUUCCAAAUUAUUGUUCAGAUAAAACCAUAGAAACCAUCAUAAUUAUUCAACAUACAUUAAGCUCCGUUUGGUAAAUACUUGCAACUUCAGUCUAGAAAAUACAGUUAAUUUUUAUUUAAAAAAACAUCAUAAUUAUCAACAUACAUAUUUGACAAAAUUAUUAUUUAAAAAUCAUAACUAAUUACCAAAAGCCACAAUAAAUCAAUAUCAAACAGAGUCUUAUUAUUAGCUAAAGGAGGAUGGUGCCUUAGCUGCCCUGGUGGAAUUGUAUAGAUUUUGAAGUUGUUGGUGACACUCAAUUUCAGCUUCAUCAACCGCAACAUUUUCAAUGCCAAGAUGGAGCAGAUGCUUCAAUACUGCCUGUACAAACCAUAAAAAACUAAUGAAAAAUAAAUAAAAUCGAGAAAUUUCACUAAUUAAAAGUCUAAAUAAUUCAAAAACAAAAAAAGAAAAGAAACGGACUUGCUGCUGCUUGGCGACUUGUUCUCGGAGCUUGAUUGCCUGUUUCUUGAUAGCUUCCAUACUGUUUCUUUCAAAAAGCGACGACGGCUCAGCUCAUGGAAGUGGAAAAAAAAAAGUGUGAUCGAGAAAAAUGAAAAGGCGUGAAUAAUUUUUGACAAAAAGCGAAAAUCAAGGAAAGCCGGCUCUUUCCAGAAAAUAAAAAAGAAAAAAGAAAAUUAUAAGUUUGAAAGGAGAAGAUGAUAGUGGAAGUGUGCGGUGUGGCUGCC